AAAGCGCGCGCAGGUGGUUCCUUAAGUCUGAUGUGAAAGCCCACGGCUCAAUCGUGGAGGGUCAUUGGAAACUGGGGAACUUGAGUGCAGAAGAGGAAAGUGGAAUUCCACGUGUAGCGGUGAAAUGCGUAGAGAUGUGGAGGAACACCAGUGGCGAAGGCGACUUUCUGGUCUGUAACUGACACUGAGGCGCGAAAGCGUGGGGAGCGAACAGGAUUAGAUACCCUGGGUAGUCCACGCGUGUACACGAUGAGUGCUAAGUGUUAGAGGGUUUCCGCCCUUUAGUGCUGCAGCAAACGCAUUAAGCACUCCGCCUGGGGAGUACGGACGCAAGGCUGAAACUCAAAGGAAUUGACGGGGGCCCGCACAAGCGGUGGAGCAUGUGCUUUAAUUCGAAGCAACGCGAAGAACCUUACCAGGUCUUGACAUCCUCUGACACUCCUAGAGAUAGGACGUUCCCCUUCGGGGGACAGAGUGACAGGUGGUGCAUGGUUGUCGUCAGCUCGUGUCGUGAGAUGUUGGGUUAAGUCCCGCAACGAGCGCAACCCUUGAUCUUAGUUGCCAGCAUUCAGUUGGGCACUCUAAGGUGACUGCCGGUGACAAACCGGAGGAAGGUGGGGAUGACGUCAAAUCAUCAUGCCCCUUAUGACCUGGGCUACACACGUGCUACAAUGGAUAGAACAAAGGGCAGCAAAACCGCGAGGUCAAGCAAAUCCCAUAAAUCUAUUCUCAGUUCGGAUUGCAGGCUGCAACUCGCCUGCAUGAAGCCGGAAUCG
This 776-nucleotide ribosomal RNA is filed under the name uncultured bacterium. RNAcentral describes it as "bacterial SSU rRNA". It matches the Rfam family "Bacterial small subunit ribosomal RNA", at positions 562 to 1334 of the family's 1533-position model. The record is from RNAcentral.